This 325-nucleotide ribosomal RNA is filed under the name Flavobacterium psychrophilum. Its description in RNAcentral is "bacterial LSU rRNA". It matches the Rfam family "Bacterial large subunit ribosomal RNA", at positions 1 to 337 of the family's 2925-position model. Lineage: Bacteria; Pseudomonadati; Bacteroidota; Flavobacteriia; Flavobacteriales; Flavobacteriaceae. The record is from RNAcentral.
GUACAAUAAGCAAAAUAAGGGCGUAUGGGGGAUGCCUUGGCUCUCAGAGGCGAUGAAGGGCGUGAUAAGCUGCGAAAAGCUACGGGGAUCAGCACACAUGACUUGAUCCGUAGAUACCCGAAUGGGGCAACCCACUAUGUUGAAGACAUAGUACACCGAUAGGUGGGCAAACCCGCUGAACUGAAACAUCUAAGUAGGCGGAGGAGAAGAAAACAAAAGUGAUUCCGUAAGUAGUGGCGAGCGAACGCGGAUUAGCCCAAACCAAUGUUGUUACGGCAAUGUUGGGGUUGUAGGACCACGUUAUUUGUUGCGGAUAGAAUUAGAA